Molecule: ribosomal RNA, 986 nt
Filed under: uncultured bacterium
Lineage: Bacteria
Description: bacterial SSU rRNA
Rfam family: Bacterial small subunit ribosomal RNA
Source: RNAcentral
GUGCCAGCCGCCGCGGUAAGACGAAGGUCCCCAGCGUUACCCGGAUUUACUGGGCGUAAAGGACGAGAAGGCGGGAACGUAAGUUUACCCUAAAAGUCACCGAGCUCAACUCGGUGAAUGGGGUAAAUACUGCGUUCCUAGAGUCUGCCAGGGGCCAGCGGAACGGUCGGUGUAGGGGUGAAAUCCGAUGAUAUCGACCGGAACGCCGAAGGCGAAGGCAACUGGCUAGGGCAGUACUGACGCUGAUCUCGUGAAAGCCAGGGGCGCGAACCGGAUUAGAUACCCGGGUAGUCCUGGCCGUAAACGAUGGGUGCUAGCUUUGGGGAGAGUCGACCCUCUCUGAAGCGAAGCUAACGCGUUAAGCACCCCGCCUGGGGAGUAUGUCCGCAAGGCCGAAACUCAAAGGAAUAGGCGGAAGCCCGACCAAGCGGUGGACCAUGUUGCUUAAUUCGAGAGUGACCGAAAAAUCUUACCUGGGCUUGACAUGCUAGUCUUAAUGCCUUCUCCGAAAGGAGAAGGAAUCCAGGCUCUGCCUGGAGGGCUAGCACAGGUGCUGCACGGCCGUCGUCAGCUCGUGGCGUGAGCCGUAACCUUAAGUGGCGCAACGAGCGCAACCCCUACCCUGUGUUACACGUGUCACAGGGGACUGCCUGGUCUACCCAGGAGGAAGGUGGGGAUGACGUCAGGUCCGCGUGGCCCUUAUGCCCAGGGCGGCAAACAUGGUACAAUGCCGGGUACAAAGGGUUGCGAGGCCGCGAGGCUGAGCUAAUCCCUAAAAGCCCGGCCCAGUUCGGAUCGGAGGCUGGAACCCGCCUCCGUGAAGGCGGAAUCGCUAGUAAUCGCGGAUCAGCGAUGCCGCGGUGAAUACGUUCUCGGGCUUUGCACUCACCGCCCGUCAGGUCAGGGGAGUCAUCUCUACCUGAAGUCCUACGUUUGUAGGAUUAGGGUAGGGGUGAUGACCAGGGCUAAGUCGUAACAAGGUAGCC